ACCAACCCGGAUGAUUAUUGAGAAUCUUAUACCCAAGAGAUUGUAAUGUAUCUCUUUCCUUAGGAGGACCUAAUGGGGGCAAUAAUAUAACAUCACCGUCACCAUCAGGAGCAUAAUAGUCAACUCCAAAACGACCCAAUAACUGUUUCUGCUUAAAUAUUGCCCAUUCUUUUAACAUAAACGUUUCAUAAGGGAUUACAGGCU
Molecule: long non-coding RNA, 204 nt
Filed under: Ananas comosus (pineapple)
Lineage: Eukaryota; Viridiplantae; Streptophyta; Magnoliopsida; Poales; Bromeliaceae
Description: long non-coding RNA (ACOM_LNC036168)
Source: RNAcentral